AGUGAACGCUGGCGGUAGGCCUAACACAUGCAAGUCGAACGGCAGCACAGUAAGAGCUUGCUCUUACGGGUGGCGAGUGGCGGACGGGUGAGGAAUACAUCGGAAUCUACUUUUUCGUGGGGGUUAACGUAGGGAAACUUACGCUAAUACCGCAUACGACCUACGGGUGAAAGCAGGGGAUCUUCGGACCUUGCGCGAUUGAAUGAGCCGAUGUCGGAUUAGCUAGUUGGCGGGGUAAAGGCCCACUAAGGCGACGAUCCGUAGCUGGUCUGAGAGGAUGAUCAGCCACACUGGAACUGAGACACGGUCAAGACUCCUAAGGGAGGCAGCAGUGGGGAAUAUUGGACAAUGGGCGCGAGCAUGAUCCAGCCAUACCGCGUGGGUGAAGAAGGCGUUCGGGUUGUAAAGCCCUUUUGUUGGGAAAGAAAAGCAGCAGGUUAAUACCCCGCUGUUCUGACGGUACCCAAAGAAUAAGCACCGGCUAACUUCGUG
This 492-nucleotide ribosomal RNA is filed under the name uncultured bacterium. RNAcentral describes it as "partial 16S ribosomal RNA". It matches the Rfam family "Bacterial small subunit ribosomal RNA", at positions 29 to 507 of the family's 1533-position model. The record is from RNAcentral.